This 454-nucleotide ribosomal RNA is filed under the name Pseudomonas sp. Its description in RNAcentral is "bacterial SSU rRNA". It matches the Rfam family "Bacterial small subunit ribosomal RNA", at positions 104 to 554 of the family's 1533-position model. The record is from RNAcentral. Lineage: Bacteria; Pseudomonadati; Pseudomonadota; Gammaproteobacteria; Pseudomonadales; Pseudomonadaceae.
GGGUGAGUAAUGCCUAGGAAUCUGCCUGGUAGUGGGGGAUAACGCUCGGAAACGGACGCUAAUACCGCAUACGUCCUACGGGAGAAAGCAGGGGACCUUCGGGCCUUGCGCUAUCAGAUGAGCCUAGGUCGGAUUAGCUAGUUGGUGAGGUAAUGGCUCACCAAGGCGACGAUCCGUAACUGGUCUGAGAGGAUGAUCAGUCACACUGGAACUGAGACACGGUCCAGACUCCUACGGGAGGCAGCAGUGGGGAAUAUUGGACAAUGGGCGAAAGCCUGAUCCAGCCAUGCCGCGUGUGUGAAGAAGGUCUUCGGAUUGUAAAGCACUUUAAGUUGGGAGGAAGGGCAUUAACCUAAUACGUUGGUGUCUUGACGUUACCGACAGAAUAAGCACCGGCUAACUCUGUGCCAGCAGCCGCGGUAAUACAGAGGGUGCAAGCGUUAAUCGGAAUUAC